RNAcentral lists this unclassified non-coding RNA (499 nucleotides) under Hevea brasiliensis (rubber tree). The record is from RNAcentral. Lineage: Eukaryota; Viridiplantae; Streptophyta; Magnoliopsida; Malpighiales; Euphorbiaceae.
AAUGAGGAUAAUGUUGAUAUUUUUAAAAAAUUAUUAGGAUAAUAUAGUUUUUUACUUAGUAAAAGAGAGUUAAAAAUCCUUACUUAUGACUUUAGACUUACUUUAAGUAGUUUUUUUUAACUUAUAAGUCAAACUAAAUGUUAAUCUACUUACGACUUUCUAUUUAUAAAUAGAUUUGAUCGACUUAUAUGCCAAACUAAUCACUCUCUUAAUUUUCACGACAAAAAUCAAAAACUCCUCAGGGGUUCUGUGAUAUAAUAAAUUUUAACCUCAGUUAAGGUGCUGAGGUGUCAUUCAAGCUACAAUGUUCCAUCUAUGGUAAACUAAUCAUAUAUAUAUAUUGAAAUUUCAGGUACUUGUAUGUGUGCGCGACAACUGUUUGCAUCUAUAUAGGGGUCUUUGUGGUGGCUGCAACUGAGAUUUAUAUAUAUAUGGUGAUAGCCUUUCGGAGAAAGAUUCAGGUUUCAAUCAGUAAUGGCAUUCUAUAGCUUCGGAUGAC